UUAAACAAAACCAAACUAGAGGUAUGCCACUGUUAAUGGUAGUUAGAGUUUUACUCUGUUUAAA
RNAcentral lists this transfer RNA (64 nucleotides) under Dicranocentrus wangi. RNAcentral's name for it is "tRNA-Asn". Lineage: Eukaryota; Metazoa; Arthropoda; Collembola; Entomobryomorpha; Entomobryidae. The record is from RNAcentral.